RNAcentral lists this long non-coding RNA (670 nucleotides) under Anas platyrhynchos (mallard). RNAcentral's name for it is "lncRNA (ENSAPLG00020016550.1)". Lineage: Eukaryota; Metazoa; Chordata; Aves; Anseriformes; Anatidae. The record is from RNAcentral.
CGAGCGGCCCUGCUGGCUCCGUAGCUGCAGGACUUUCUCCGUACGGAGCAUUUCGGCCGAGACACGGCUCGGCCAGGCCCGGCACGGCCCCGGGCUCGCCGCCCGCCUGCGCACGGUGCGAGAGGCGGUGCUGCAUGGAGAGGGAGGGACGGAGAGGAGCGGAGGGGAGGGACGGGAAAGCGGCGGGAGGCGAUGCUGGGGCCGGCCUGAGGGAGCGGUGUGGAGGCGGAGGGACUGGGCUGAGGGGGAGCUCUGAGGGGUGGGCGGGAGCGGGCUGAGGGAACCGGGCUGAAGCUGAGGGGAGUUUCUGAGGGAAAGGCGGGAGCGGGCUGAGGGGAAAUUCUGAGGGAGAGGUGUGGAAAAGCUGAGGGGAAUUUCUGAGGAAAAGGCCUCCUGUUACAAGGGCAGAGAUGAUUUGCGUUGGACGCACUGGGAGACUGGAAAGGCUUCGGAGAAGAACAAGAAGAAGCUGUCUUGCUAUGCCUAAACUAGUCCUGCAUAAAUGCAUGUGUGUGAACCUCCAUGGUCGUUCAUGGCAUCUCUCAGGAGCAGACCCAGUUGUGAUUCCUCAUUCCGGUACGUAGUGUGUGAUACUGAGGAAGUGCAAGGCACCACUGUGAGGAGUGUCCCCACCUGUUGGACCAGCAAGGGCAGCUCUGCAGGUAAGAGA